AGUCGUANCAAGGUAGGUGUGUCGGAAGGUGUACCUAGGAGUAUAUA
RNAcentral lists this ribosomal RNA (47 nucleotides) under Caridina typus. RNAcentral describes it as "partial 12S ribosomal RNA". The record is from RNAcentral. Lineage: Eukaryota; Metazoa; Arthropoda; Malacostraca; Decapoda; Atyidae.